UACGUAGGGCGCAAGCGUUAUCCGGAAUUAUUGGGCGUAAAGAGCUCGUAGGCGGUUUGUCGCGUCUGCUGUGAAAACCUAAGGCUCAACCUUGGGCUUGCAGUGGGUACGGGCAGACUAGAGUGCGGUAGGGGUGACUGGAAUUCCUGGUGUAGCGGUGGAAUGCGCAGAUAUCAGGAGGAAUACCGAUGGCGAAGGCAGGUCACUGGGCCGCAACUGACGCUGAGGAGCGAAAGCGUGGGGAGCGAUCCGG
RNAcentral lists this ribosomal RNA (253 nucleotides) under uncultured bacterium. RNAcentral describes it as "partial 16S ribosomal RNA". It matches the Rfam family "Bacterial small subunit ribosomal RNA", at positions 524 to 776 of the family's 1533-position model. The record is from RNAcentral.